This 441-nucleotide ribosomal RNA is filed under the name uncultured bacterium. Its description in RNAcentral is "partial 16S ribosomal RNA". It matches the Rfam family "Bacterial small subunit ribosomal RNA", at positions 338 to 795 of the family's 1533-position model. The record is from RNAcentral.
CCUACGGGAGGCUGCAGUAGGGAAUAUUGCUCAAUGGGGGAAACCCUGAUGCAGCGACGCCGCGUGAGUGAAGAAGGCUUUCGGUAUGGAAAGCUCUAUCUGCAGGGAAGAAAAAAGACGUCACCUGACUAAUAAGCCCCUGCUAACUACGUGCCAGCAGCCGCGUUAAUACGUAGGGGGCAAGCGUUAUCCGGAUUUACUGGGUGUAAAGGGAGCGUAGACGGCAAUACAAGUCGGAAGUGAAAUACCCGGGCUCAACCUGGGAACUGCAUUGGAAACUGUAUGGCUGGAGUGCUGGAGAGGUAAGCGGAAUUCCUAGUGUAGCGGUGAAAUGCGUAGAUAUUAGGAAGAACACCAGUGGCGAAGGCGGCUUACUGGACAGUAACUGACGUUGAGGCUCGAAAGCGUGGGGAGCAAACAGGAUUAGAUACCCGAGUAGUC